RNAcentral lists this long non-coding RNA (496 nucleotides) under Mus spicilegus (steppe mouse). RNAcentral's name for it is "lncRNA (ENSMSIG00000012152.1)". The record is from RNAcentral. Lineage: Eukaryota; Metazoa; Chordata; Mammalia; Rodentia; Muridae.
CAGGAGAGUUCUACUUCAUUGAUUAACAAAAGCAGGGAUAUAAUUUUUUCAGCCUUUUUGAAAAGCCUGAAAUGUCAAGCCUUUUAAAGCAGAUUAUUGUGCCUCUGUGCAGUGAAUACAGCCAGAGUAACCUUUUGUCUACAAUUAAAUAUUCUAGCAUAAAUAUAAAAGAAAAUCAGAGAUGGGAAAGAUUGACUCACAAGAGAUUGGAGAGGUAGAUCCUCACACUGAUAGCGAAGCAGCAGCUUGCUUCUAAUUAAAUAUGCGGCUGACUCUCCAUGCUCUCGCUCGCUAGCAGCCGCACAGAGGAGAAGCGGCUGAGGAGAGGAAGGAAGGAGUCUAUCACAUCAUCUCUCUGUCCACAGGCUUUCCUUGGGGCUUAUGAAGAAGAGGUCAGAAUUGAUCGCGAGAAUCCCAAAUUUUUGGGUAACAACAUUUUCACCCAUCCACAAGUGUCUGCACUGCUAGGGGAGGAGGACGAGGAGGCUCUGCAUUA